AACGAACGCUGGCGGCGUGCUUAACACAUGCAAGUCGUACGUGAAAGCCCUUCGGGGUGAGUAGAGUGGCGCACGGGUGAGUAAUGCAUAGGAACGUACCUCUGGGCGGGGGACAACUCCGGGAAACCGGUGCUAAUACCGCAUAAUCUGGAAACAGUAAAGCUGGCCUCUAUUUAUAAGCUAGCACCUAGAGAUCGGCCUAUGUCCCAUUAGCUUGUUGGUGAGGUAAAGGCUCACCAAGGCUACGAUGGGUAGCUGGUCUGAGAGGAUGAUCAGCCACACUGGAACUGAGACACGGUCCAG
Molecule: ribosomal RNA, 303 nt
Filed under: uncultured bacterium
Lineage: Bacteria
Description: bacterial SSU rRNA
Rfam family: Bacterial small subunit ribosomal RNA
Source: RNAcentral